CGACCGCGACCCCAGGUCAGCGGGACUACCCGCUGAGUUNAAGCAUAUC
RNAcentral lists this ribosomal RNA (49 nucleotides) under Paederota lutea. RNAcentral describes it as "partial 26S ribosomal RNA". Lineage: Eukaryota; Viridiplantae; Streptophyta; Magnoliopsida; Lamiales; Plantaginaceae. The record is from RNAcentral.